UGGGGAAUAUUGGGCAAUGGGCGAAAGCCUGACCCAGCGACGCCGCGUGGGUGAUGAAGGCCUUCGGGUUGUAAAGCCCUUUCGUGCGGAAAGAACAGCCCUGUAGUUAAUACCUGCAGGGUUUGACGGUACCGCAGGAAGAAGCACCGGCUAACUCCGCGCCAGCAGCCGCGGUAAUACGGAGGGUGCAAGCGUUGUUCGGAAUUAUUGAGCGUAAAGGGCGCGUAGGUGGUUGUGAUAGUCAGAUGUGAAAUCCUUCGGCUCAACCGAAGAACUGCAUCUGAAACUUCAUAGCUCGAGUACAGGAGAGGGAAACGGAAUUCCCGGUGUAGAGGUGAAAUUCGUAGAUAUCGGGAGGAACACCAGUGGCGAAGGCGGUUUCCUGGCCUGAUACUGACGCUGAGGCGCGAAAGCGUGGGGAGCAAACAG
Molecule: ribosomal RNA, 429 nt
Filed under: uncultured bacterium
Lineage: Bacteria
Description: bacterial SSU rRNA
Rfam family: Bacterial small subunit ribosomal RNA
Source: RNAcentral